CGUAGGGUGAACCUGCGGAAGGAUCAUUACCGA
RNAcentral lists this ribosomal RNA (33 nucleotides) under Neofusicoccum parvum. RNAcentral describes it as "partial 18S ribosomal RNA". The record is from RNAcentral. Lineage: Eukaryota; Fungi; Ascomycota; Dothideomycetes; Botryosphaeriales; Botryosphaeriaceae.